RNAcentral lists this microRNA precursor (84 nucleotides) under Cebus imitator (Panamanian white-faced capuchin). RNAcentral describes it as "miRNA (ENSCCAG00000005352.1)". Lineage: Eukaryota; Metazoa; Chordata; Mammalia; Primates; Cebidae. The record is from RNAcentral.
AUAUUAUGUUGGUACAAAAGUAAUUGCACUUUUGCCGUUGUAAGUAAUGGUAAAAACUGCAAUUACUUUUGCAUCAACCUAAUA